AUGGGGAGGGCGCCUUGCUGCGAGAAGGUGGGGCUGAAGCGAGGAAAGUGGACGGCGAAGGAGGAUGACACUCUCGCAAAAUACAUAGCUGGGCACGGCGAGGGUUCAUGGAGGUCUCUGCCCAAAAAUGCGGCUUCCCAUUGUAUUAAUACUGCAGGGCUACUAAGGUGUGGCAAUAGCUGCAGGCUACGGUGGGUCAACUACCUGAGGGACGGGGUGAGGAGGGGCAACUUCUCUAAGGAGGAAGACGAUCUCAUCGUCAAGCUCCAUGCUACAUUAGGCAACAGAUGGUCACUGAUCGCCAGUCACCUGCCAGGGCGGACUGACAACGAGAUCAAGAAUUACUGGAACGCUCAUCUUAGCAGGCAGAUCCACAGCUUCCGGCGCAUGUACACCGCUGGCAAGGAAACCACCAUAACCAUCGACAUGAACAAGCUUUCCACCGCUUCCAAGCGCCGAGGCGGCCGGGCACCAAGGAGCAGCACGAAGAAGCAGCCGGUGCUUGAGCCCACCAGGUCAAUGGAAUGCUCUAGGCCGGUCGGUGACAUGUCAUCAUCAACAUCAAGCCUACCUCAGGGCAACUCGGAAACUAUGUUAGAACAGAACCGGCCGAUCAACAUCAUCACUAAUGAUACACCCUGCAGUGAGGAGCCCAUGGUCAUGGACCCCAUAGAUCUCAAUGGUGGUUUCCUGGAGCCCAGCUACGUGUACAACUCAAUGGAUCAAAUUGGGAUUUUACAGGAGUCUGGGGAGAUUGGGGCCCUGUUAUCAAGCAUCAACGACAUGCCAGCUAGAGUGCUGACCGGCAUCGAGCACGGAGGCCACUCACCUCGGGUUGAGGAUCUCCUGGACAUGGACUGGGAGGGUUUUGCGUCUCACCUAUGCGACCAGCCAGCCCAGAAUGAUCCCCUCCAGACCGCGAAGCCACAGGCAACGACAGGCUCCGAGUCGGACAAGCUUGAGUCGUUCGUCAGUUGGCUCCUCUCUGAUGCGUCCUAA
This 999-nucleotide ribosomal RNA is filed under the name Triticum aestivum (bread wheat). RNAcentral describes it as "partial small subunit ribosomal RNA". The record is from RNAcentral. Lineage: Eukaryota; Viridiplantae; Streptophyta; Magnoliopsida; Poales; Poaceae.